RNAcentral lists this ribosomal RNA (253 nucleotides) under uncultured bacterium. Its description in RNAcentral is "partial 16S ribosomal RNA". It matches the Rfam family "Bacterial small subunit ribosomal RNA", at positions 524 to 776 of the family's 1533-position model. The record is from RNAcentral.
UACGGAGGGGGCUAGCGUUGCUCGGAAUUACUGGGCGUAAAGGGAGCGUAGGCGGAUAGUUUAGUCAGAGGUGAAAGCCCAGGGCUCAACCUUGGAAUUGCCUUUGAUACUGGCUAUCUUGAGUACGGAAGAGGUAUGUGGAACUCCGAGUGUAGAGGUGAAAUUCGUAGAUAUUCGGAAGAACACCAGUGGCGAAGGCGACAUACUGGUCCGUUACUGACGCUGAGGCUCGAAAGCGUGGGGAGCAAACAGG